RNAcentral lists this RNase P RNA (364 nucleotides) under Sorex araneus (European shrew). Its description in RNAcentral is "Nuclear RNase P (ENSSARG00000018808.1)". It matches the Rfam family "Nuclear RNase P". From Rfam's summary of the family: Ribonuclease P (RNase P) is a ubiquitous endoribonuclease, found in archaea, bacteria and eukarya as well as chloroplasts and mitochondria. Lineage: Eukaryota; Metazoa; Chordata; Mammalia; Eulipotyphla; Soricidae. The record is from RNAcentral.
AGAGGGGAGCGACAUUCAGGAGUUACAGAAAGAGUGGGAUCUGAUGCGUCUCUCUAGCACACGGCUCUUGUGAAAACCUCUAAGACUGUAAGAGAUCAGUAAGCAGUCCCAAUCUUUUGCCUUCAUGAACUUGGGGAGAUGAGUGAAGUGCUUAGGGCAUAGAUCUCUGUGGGAGGUCAGCUGGGCAGCGGAUGAUCCAGGCCUUCUGCCUCUGUAGGCCUCUCCCAGGCAAGGGGUCCUAGCAUAUGCCUCCUUCCCUGGAGCUUGGAACAGACUUCCAGCCAGCCAAGUGAGUUCAAGGCUGGAGGUGAUGUACCAGGUCAGCGGGACUCAUACCUCAAUUCAGAUUACUCUCCCCCAUUCC